Molecule: transfer RNA, 71 nt
Filed under: Trichocoleus sp. FACHB-591
Lineage: Bacteria; Bacillati; Cyanobacteriota; Cyanophyceae; Leptolyngbyales; Trichocoleusaceae
Description: tRNA-Trp
Rfam family: tRNA
About the family: Transfer RNA (tRNA) molecules are approximately 80 nucleotides in length. Their secondary structure includes four short double-helical elements and three loops (D, anti-codon, and T loops).
Source: RNAcentral
GCACAGAUGGUGUAACGGCAACAUCGCGGUCUCCAAAACCGUUGUUCUAGGUUCGAAUCCUAGUCUGUGCG